AACGCACAUUGCGCCCGCUGGAAUUCCAGCGGGCAUGCCUGUUCGAGCGUCAUUUCACCCCUCAAGCCUUGCUUGGUGUUGGAGCACUACCGUUUGCACAAAGCGGUAGGCUCUGAAAUUCAGUGGCGGGCUCGCUAAGACUCUGAGCGUAGUAGUUUAUCACCUCGCUUUGGAAGGAUUAGCGGUGCUCUUGCCGUAAAACCCCCCAAAUUUCUGAAUUUUGACCUCGGAUCAGGUAGGAAUACCCGCUGAACUUAA
RNAcentral lists this unclassified non-coding RNA (258 nucleotides) under uncultured Diaporthales. Its description in RNAcentral is "sequence contains 5.8S rRNA gene, ITS2, 28S rRNA gene". The stretch from base 1 to 52 matches the Rfam family "5.8S ribosomal RNA", at positions 103 to 154 of the family's 154-position model. Lineage: Eukaryota; Fungi; Ascomycota; Sordariomycetes; Diaporthales. The record is from RNAcentral.